CGCGCCCAGCGGCUCCCAUGGCGAGCUCGCCGGGAUGCCAUGCUCCAGCCGACUUCCCUCCCCGUCUUCUCCCUGCUUCUGCUCGGAGCUCCAGCUCAGCUCCCUCCGUGCGUCCGCGACCUUUGCCGUGGGGCUCCUUCCUGCGCGCGCCGGACGCCGGGUUGUCUUCAACCUCCAGCCGUGGAUUUCCUGCCGUGGAGCUUCGUUUUCCCGUGCGCGCGUCUCAUCUCCAUAGCGCUCGGCUCUCCUCCUCCCUGUCCUCUGUGCGCGCGUGUGAGAGGUGACCAGGCCUAGAAUAGGUGUGAAGUGUGUGUGCGUGCUGGGCGUGAUGGGUGGAGUGGGCCACUGUAACCGGGAUACAUAUACACUGUCUUGUGGAGGGGGAAAGGGAAUGCAUAAUGGGAAUUAUCAAUAGAAUUCUUCUCGUUCCUUU
Zea mays is the source of this 433-nucleotide RNA transcript. RefSeq lists it as uncharacterized. The transcript has a single exon. The record is from RefSeq and is marked validated. NCBI's taxonomy places the organism in Eukaryota, Viridiplantae, Streptophyta, Magnoliopsida, Poales, Poaceae.